RNAcentral lists this ribosomal RNA (253 nucleotides) under uncultured bacterium. RNAcentral describes it as "partial 16S ribosomal RNA". It matches the Rfam family "Bacterial small subunit ribosomal RNA", at positions 524 to 776 of the family's 1533-position model. The record is from RNAcentral.
UACAGAGGGUGCGAGCGUUAAUCGGAAUUACUGGGCGUAAAGCGCGCGUAGGCGGCUUUGCAAGUCGGAUGUGAAAUCCCCAGGCUUAACCUGGGAACUGCAUUCGAGACUGCAUUGCUAGAGUAUGGGAGAGGGAAGUGGAAUUUCCGGUGUAGCGGUGAAAUGCGUAGAUAUCGGAAGGAACAUCAGUGGCGAAAGCGACUUCCUGGACCAAUACUGACGCUCAUGUGCGAAAGCGUGGGGAGCCAACAGG